RNAcentral lists this ribosomal RNA (253 nucleotides) under uncultured bacterium. Its description in RNAcentral is "partial 16S ribosomal RNA". It matches the Rfam family "Bacterial small subunit ribosomal RNA", at positions 524 to 776 of the family's 1533-position model. The record is from RNAcentral.
UACAGAAGAGGCUAGCGUUGUUCGGAAUUACUGGGCGUAAAGAGCGCGUAGGCGGCUUACCAAGUUGGGGGUGAAAUCCCGGAGCUCAACUCCGGAACUGCCUUCAAAACUGGUAGGCUCGAGUCCGGAAGAGGGGCGUGGAAUUCCCAGUGUAGAGGUGAAAUUCGUAGAUAUUGGGAAGAACACAGGUGGCGAAGGCGGCGCCCUGGUCCGGUACUGACGCUGAGGCGCGAAAGCGUGGGGAGCAAACAGG